GUUUAUUUCAAAAGCAUUCACAUCAUCUUGCAUAGUUACCACCUGCAUAUUCUUGAUACCCAGCGUAGUUCAUAAGACAUUGUAGAAAAACAAAACAUAUUUGAUGAAUAAAUGAAUGAACAUAUAUCACCUAAUUUUUAAUGUUAUUUUACAGCAUUGCCCUUAGAGCUGGGCAUCCAGGACCUUGCCCUCUACCUGGAGAUUCGACGGGCUCACUCUUUCCCCUCCUGCCACAAUCCUCAUGGACUGAAGAGUCCCCAGGGCCAAAGGAAGAAGAUGACGGCCAGCCUUCUGCAGGUGCAAGUUCCUCCGAAAUAAAGGUACUGGGGUGUCAUGGGUGACCUAAAAAGGAAGACGCUUCACAAACUCCUCUUGUGUAUUUGAAGUGAAAUAGAAGUCAUAACCUCAACACUAUCCUUGGAUUACUGGUGGAAAGUUAAAUUCAGAAAAGAAUAUAGCCUUGUCUACACCAUGCGUACUUAUCUAGAAAAACCGUUUUUUUUUUUUUUUCUCAUUAGUGUUAGGAAACAAAAACUGGUGAACUAACCACUUUAGGGAGAAGGUUCUGAGGUCACAGAGGUUUGUGAAACAGCUCGGAAAGGCUUAUCCAGAGAAGGCAGUACAGGAGAUAAAAAUCUUAUCAUGUAGCCAGGUAAAAAGAGGCAAGAAGAGCAGCGGUCAACCAGGAUUGUGUGCCUUGGGGGAUCUAAUAUCAGGAAGCAUAUACACUUGUAUUCAACAGAUAUUCUUGUUGAAACUGGAGAAGGAUCUACCUAAAAAGGCUGCAGAGUUCCAUAGGGUGGGGGAUAUAACUCCAAGAGAAAAAAAAUGGAGAAAGAAAGACUAGGAAAAAGGAAAUGAGGUCUGUCCUCUUUUCUUGUUAAUGUAGCUGUAGGAGAUGAUGCCAUUUCUGGUAUGGCUGGGUGUGAGAAGUAAAAGUUCCUCUUCAAAGUUUCCUUUCUUGUUAAAGAAUAAAUCAUAAGCUUGCUAAUAACUGUUUGUUAAGCCCUAUCCUACAUGGCUGUUAAACAUGCCAAACUUACGGGCAGGUAGUAUAUUCUUUUAUUAUUAUCAUUAUACUUUAAGUUCUGAGUACAUGGGCAGAUUGUGCAGGAUUGUUACGUAGGUAUACACAUGACCUAAUGUAGAUGAUGGGUGGGUUGAAUGUACAUAGUAUAGUCUAUGUCCUUGUACUUUAACCAAGAUAAUCUGUGCUGGAUGUGCUCACAGGCAUGUCCCAGCUUGCCAUUGCUUUCACCUGUUCAGAAAAAGUUUUAAGUUAUUAGCCAAUUGGGUUUUAGUUUAGAUUGUGAGGUCUGGCUCCAACCAAUGGAGAUCAGACAGCAGUAAAAACAACCCCGAAUGCAUAAGGGAUAAGUACGCCUGCUUUUCCUUUGUUCAUUGUACUCUUGUGGCAAGAUGGCUAAGGAGAGUACCCUUCCUAUGGGAAGUAAAAAUUGCUUGCUGAGAG
RNAcentral lists this long non-coding RNA (1471 nucleotides) under Callithrix jacchus (white-tufted-ear marmoset). RNAcentral's name for it is "lncRNA (ENSCJAG00000083517.1)". Lineage: Eukaryota; Metazoa; Chordata; Mammalia; Primates; Cebidae. The record is from RNAcentral.